CAAUAGCGUAUAUUAAAGUUGUUGCGGUUAAAAAGCUCGUAGUUGGAUCUCGGCAGGCAGGGGGUGGUUCGCUCUUAGCGCUACUGCCCCAUUUGCCUGUGUGAUUGGCGGAGGUUUCGGGGUGCUCUUCGUUGAGUGACCCGGGGCGCCGUCAGGUUUACUUUGAAAAAAUUAGAGUGCUCAAAGCAGGCUUUUCACGCUUGAAUAUUCGUGCAUGGAAUAAUGGAAUAGGAACUCGUUUCUAUUUUGUUGGUUUUCGGAAAUCGAGCUAAUGAUUAAUAGGGACAAUUGGGGGCAUUAGUAUUCAGACGACAGAGGUGAAAUUCUUGGACCGUCUGAAGACUAACUACUGCGAAAGCAUUUGCCAAGAGUGUUUUCAUUAA
This 383-nucleotide ribosomal RNA is filed under the name uncultured eukaryote. Its description in RNAcentral is "partial 18S ribosomal RNA". It matches the Rfam family "Eukaryotic small subunit ribosomal RNA", at positions 592 to 976 of the family's 1831-position model. The record is from RNAcentral.